AGCCUGAACUUUCUCAUCUAACACCUGUUCAAGUCGGAGGAUGCUGAUUAAUUCAUGAUGGAAAGGUAUCAAUUUCACAGCCCAGACUUCUACAUUCUUGAAAUGCUGUUCUCAUGGGAGACAUUAAAUAAGCUUUGAAAUAACUGAAGAACCAAUGAUGUGAUCCCUGGAUACUGGCAAUUGUUGCCCAAGAAACCCUCUCCCCUUGCUAUGGGACUGCUGGGCACCCAAAUAAUGCACCCAAAUAAUUUGAUAGCUCUUGUUACACAGCUCUUUUUGGACUAAAAGGCCCUCAGCAUUCCUGGCAAUUUCUACACUCCUGAAGCUUCAUCUGGAGACGUCUGUGGAUUCUAUAACUCAAAGACCCAGGCUGAUGGCUGGUGGAAUAGCUACCAUCUCAAACAUGGCGUGAUGCUGCAUCAGAGGGAAAAAUAAGCUCUUGCACUGGCAAUGAAAUGUCUACCCUGUAGUGACUUGUGCUUACUUCCACUCACAAAUGAUUGCCCAGAGCUACUUACCUGGCUCCAAUCUACCACUGGGUCAGACGUUUGCCGAAUUCAGUUCUGAGCUUUUGAACCAAAAGCAGAUCUUCAGAACAAGAAAGAAGAUAAUAAAAGAGAAACACAAAGAAACUGAAGAUGAUUGGAGAUAUAUGAAUCAAGAUGAUUAGACCUAGCAGAGGGCUGGCUGGAUGGCAUUUAUGUUGACGAUGGACUCCUACACAGAGGAUGAUCGU
Molecule: non-coding RNA, 736 nt
Filed under: Pongo abelii (Sumatran orangutan)
Lineage: Eukaryota; Metazoa; Chordata; Mammalia; Primates; Hominidae
Source: RNAcentral